UCUCUCUCUCUCUCUCUCUCUCUCUCUCUCUCCCAAGUCCCAUUCUUGCAGGCCGAUCACCAAAGGGAGGAGGCAGUCGUCGGUUGCUUGGGAGAGCUCACGGCAUUCCUAUGCUGCUCAAGGACAGCAUAUCCACCAAUAACAAGCAACAAGAUGGCUGGGUCAUGCGCGCUGCUGGGAUCUCAGAUGGCAUGAGAGAAAUCAGCAGCUGGAGUCUUGCGUUUUUCGCGUUUUGUGGUGGAGGUUUUAUGCAGCAUGGAAAGAAAGAGAAAGCUUGCGUAAAGAAAAGAAAGAUUUGGAUGGGUAAGAACAAAGUUGAGACUUGAGAGGACGAUGUCUGGCUUGCGUAAAGAAAAGAAAAAUCUGGAUGGAUAAGAACAGAUUUGAGACUUGAGAGGACAAUUGAUGGCAUGCGUAAAGGUUUUCUUUAUAAUAAAGUAGAGGCUUUUAGCGAGAGAAAGAAAGAAAGAAAAAAAUAAAAUAAAACUUUCCAAUAUUAUGUUUUUCAAAAAUAAUAAUAAUAGCAUGCAGACUUAAAAAAAAAAAAUUAAAAAAAAAAAUCCGAUUUCAACUCGGAAUCCGGAAUCCGGGUUUUUAAAAAUUCAGAUUCAUCCGGAUUUCUGUCCAGAUUUGAUCCGGAAUAACCCAGUCCGAGUUCCAGUCCGAAUUUCAAAUCUAGAUUUCGGUCUAGAUAAUUCUGAAUUUCCGAGUUAGAAUUCGAUUGAACAGCCUUACUGAAGUGAACUCAGAUGCUUCUAACAUACAAACGAGCCCUAACAUACCAAGACUCCAUCUGCUCACUUGAUAUCUUCACAGGCUUCUCAAUUUUUUGAACAUAAUAAUUGGGUAGUUGCCUAUUUUGUACGUACAAGAGAGAAUAAAAGAGCAGCAUGUAGAUAUUUUUUGAGAACUUCUUAGAUAAGGGAGGUGUUUUUUCUUGUGGAACUUUGGAUUCAACCAUUUGUAUAAGAUUGGUUCCAACUAUACAACAAUCAGUUGAGCUAUUGUAUGUUAAAGGAAACAAGUUAAGACUCAAGAGAAUGUCUAAUGUACCGGUUCAUUUGAAAUUUGUAUUUCGUAGAGAGUUUGAAUAUCAAAAAAGUGAGAUAUCCGUGUCUAUGUCGAAAUAAACUCGAAUUAAUUUAAUGUAAAUUUUAAUUUUAUUGUAAUUUUUAUUUUAUUACUAUCAUUUUA
This is a long non-coding RNA of Carya illinoinensis, 1194 nucleotides long. RefSeq lists it as uncharacterized. The record is from RefSeq and is a predicted model, not a curated record. Lineage: Eukaryota; Viridiplantae; Streptophyta; Magnoliopsida; Fagales; Juglandaceae. The transcript is spliced from 2 exons.